Molecule: long non-coding RNA, 3150 nt
Organism: Pseudopipra pipra
Lineage: Eukaryota; Metazoa; Chordata; Aves; Passeriformes; Pipridae
Exons: 3
Source: RefSeq, a predicted model, not a curated record
GCUGUAAUUUAAAGGUUGAAAAAUCUUGCAUCAUCCUUGAAAUAUAAAACCAUAGAUGCCCAGUUUCCCAACAGUGUGUUUUACAAAGCUCCUGGCCAACUCCUUAAGUAAGCCCUUACACAGUCCUGUUUAGUCCUUUUGAAGGGAAAUUAUCUAAUUCAAUGUAUCUGUUUUAUUUCAUAUGAAUUUGUCAAUAUAAGUAGAGAUAAAUUAAAAACUAAGAAUGCAUCUCUCUUGUUAUGUUUGAUUACUGAAUCAGUGGAAAAUGAAUCUUCUUCAUGACAAAGUAAUUUCCCUUUCACAUGUCUUACCUAGUGCUAUAUUACCGCAGGUCUCUAGCCUCUAUAGCCUGUGGGUUUAUACCAGAGGUGAGAUGCUAUAGGACUCUAACCCUCUGCAAUAAUUGUGAGGUUUUUAAUUCUUUCUGAAAUGUCAUUUAAAUCCUAUUAGAGAGAGAGGUCCAGCUACAAAAUUGAGUCACACAUCUCAAUUCUUGAUAAAUGAUCUUGAUGUGAUUACACUUGGAAUUCAAUCUCUUAAGCAAUUUUUGUUGCAAGUGAAAUAAAUUUGCUGUAGCAAUUUCAUUAACCACAAAUAAAGGAGUGUUGAUUAUUGUUUUCAUUAUGUUACAGUACUAUGUUUAUACCAAGAAAACUCACAAGUGAGUUUCCAGAAGUACAACGGACUUGAGAUGAGCAGAUGAGGUCUAGUUCCAGCUCCUUGUAUUGCAGACACACUAUUUCAGUCUGAUGUGGAGCAGAGUGGUUCCUUCAGGGGGAUGAGGGAUACAACUGAGAAGUAGUUUGCACUAUAGUCCACAUUAUAUAGAAUGGACAUAGGCCUGUCUAUAUGUCAUCCCUGCAAGAUAGGAGUCUUCGUUCUUUGAUGGGGGGAAAAGAAAAUCCCAAGCUCUGUCAUAAUCAGCUGGCUUAUCUCCAAUAAUUCCAAACUAAUUUAAGCAGUCAAGAACUGGGUGUUAACUUCUCUUAUAUGUCAGGAGAAUAGGUAAGAAAAUAAAACAAAACUAAUCAGUCAAACUGUAGCAGAUCUUUACUCUGUAACAGUGGGAGGAGAGAGUGAGAUCAGUGGCUCUGCAAAGGUGAAGUGACCAGCUGACUUCUUUGUCUGCUAGCCUGCAUGUUCUCCACUAGCAAAGCAGGAGGCAAGAUAUUUCUACCUGCUACUUUGUGAAUAAGGGGCUUUCCCAUGCAGUCACUCUGCACAAUGAAGCUGUGUCCUGGUGACAGUCCUCCCGAGGACAGUUUAUGCCUCCAUAAUUUCAUUUCUUCUUGCAUCACACCUGUGGAAAGAAACAGCUUAGUUAAUGACAAGAGUGAUGCAUAGCUUUAAUUCUCAUUGUUAUGAAUAUGAGCAGGGUCCCAUGAGAACACUGGAAGUAAUUACAUUAUAUUUUCUUCUGCCUUAGCUACUGGGGCUGGCUUUGUUCAUAGCAGAUUUUACAAGAAUUUCUUGCCAUCUUUAAGCCUGGCAUUUGCCCAUUCUGCCUUGAAAUAGUUUAGGAUGUGUCAUUUCAAUGCUGAAGAACAGACAAAGGCAUUUAUUGCUGAGCUACCUUCCAUGAAAGAAACAAUUCCUGAGCUACCUUCCAUGAAAGAAACAAUUCCCACCUCCUGGGAGUUUUCAAUUUUUUCUGUUAGUAUUAAAGUAUCACGUCCACACUGCAUUGUAAUGGAUUACUUGGUUUUGUAAUUUCUUUAUUUAAGAACAAAAGUAGUCUAUUUCAAUUUAUAUAUAAUAUGUAUUUCUAUAAUUUGAGUUUAGUCUUCUUUAGAGUCAUAGAAGGCAGAGUACAGUAGGUUAACACAAAACACUAUGAACUGAAUUCUGAAAGUACAAGUCACAUGCUUCUAUAUAUUGUGUGUAGGAAGAUAAGAUUUCCUUUUCCAUGUGCCAAAUAGGCUUCUAUUUAAAACAUAGUAAUGCAAAAAUGUGUUAUUAGUCAAAAUCCAGCUAGUUUUUAGAUUGUUAAUCUAAAACCAAUCUAAAAUAAUUAAUCUAAAUAAAACAAUGAAAGAGAAGUUGUGCCUACUUGUAACUGAAAAUCUGUUGUGAUUUCCUCAGUACUUUGAGGAAACACCAGUCAAUAAGAGUUGUUCAAUAGUUCCUUUCAUUCCAACUGAAAAAGAAAGCAUUUCUAAGUAUCUCCAGUUAGAAACUGCAGAGGGGGGCUUAAUACACAGUAGUUACUCUGAACCAAGAUUAAAAUGUUGCUUGAUAGCUCCUGGCUUUUUUAGUAGCAAUUAUUCUGAGUGCAUGAUAAUACUUGUUAGUGACUGCAAGUGCUUUAAGCUCUCGACUCCUUGAUAUGUUCUUGAACUUAUGCCAUUUUGCAAGGGGCACUGACUCAAAGGUUUUGAUGGGGUGAUGGAGGACUGACAUAAAAUUAACAUGUCCUGAAUUACUAUCCAAGAAUUACAGACUUGCAGACUGUGUAUGUUUUUAGAGUUACACUCAUCACUGACACUAAAUACAGUUUUGUCUUAUUAAAAUGCUGUUAGAACUGCUGCUUAAUGAUACGCUAUGAUUUUAUGAUCAAGUAUGCUAAAAAUUCUAAGAAAUUUUUAGUUAUGGACUAAUUCAAUAGGAAAGGAUUGUGUCAACCUAAUAUAUUAAUGCAUAAGUGGUAUUUUCAGUACUGUCCAUGGAUUAUUGUCUCACACUGCUCUAUUUGAUUGUAUAAUAUAAUUGUAGUUUAUGCUAUCCAAGACUCACAAUAAAGUCAUUAAGUCCAUCAGUCUAUUUAAAUAACUUAAGACAUAUAAGAUAAAAUACUUUUGAACUUCUUGAAGUAUCUUACAAGCAGCUCUGCAUCUAAGGUGUUUACAUUUUAAUCAAGUACUGUCAAACUUUUUGACAACUAAGGGAGACACUACUCCUGUUUGCUCAGAGGUCCAAUGGCAAAUAAAUUUUACAGUGUUAAAGGAUGAUGGAAAACAAUCUGAGAACCAUUUGAGCGUUCUUCCAUGCUCUGACAGUUUGAUGGCCUAAUUUGAGUAAUGAACAAAUUUUUAAUUCCCUGUAUAUUCUGCAAAUACUUGUGCAGCAGAUUUAGCUUGGCUGCAAAGAUCUAAUUUUCUGUUAUCUAUUAUCUAAAUAAUAAAUCUAUAGUACACUGUCUGAUAAUUUAUG